CGCUAGUAGCAAUGCUUUUACUAAGCAUGGCAUAGCUGAAGCCCUCCUUUCUGCCUCCUAGGGUCACACUGUUACUUCGUCUACUACUAAUAACACUAGCCAGCACUGAGGCAUUGCUGAUUCAAAAUUGAAGAAAUCCGCUGAUGAUUCACUCUUUAGCCAAAACCAUCCUCAAGGAGUUUAAUGGAUGUGGUACCACAAGAGAAAUGUACGUCCACAUUGAAAGGUAAGAUGAAUUAUUUCAUCUAGUAGUAUUUUUCUGUUGAUUAAACUUUUGUUUACA
This 283-nucleotide long non-coding RNA is filed under the name Aotus nancymaae (Ma's night monkey). RNAcentral describes it as "lncRNA (ENSANAG00000038966.1)". The record is from RNAcentral. Lineage: Eukaryota; Metazoa; Chordata; Mammalia; Primates; Aotidae.